AACGAACGCUGGCGGCGUGCUUAACACAUGCAAGUCGAACGAACCUUCGGGUUAGUGGCGGACGGGUGAGUAACGCGUGAGAAUCUGCCCUCAGGAGGGGGACAACAGCUGGAAACGGCUGCUAAUACCCCAUAUGCCGCGAGGUGAAAUGAAUUUCGCCUGAGGAUGAGCUCGCGUCUGAUUAGCUAGUUGGUGUAGGUAAUGGCUCACCAAGGCAUCGAUCAGUAGCUGGUCUGAGAGGAUGAUCAGCCACACUGGGACUGAGACACGGCCCAGACUCCUACGGGAGGCAGCAGUGGGGAAUUUUCCGCAAUGGGCGAAAGCCUGACGGAGCAACGCCGCGUGAGGGAUGAAGGCCUCUGGGCUGUAAACCUCUUUUAUCAAGGAAGAAGAUCUGACGGUACUUGAUGAAUAAGCCACGGCUAAUUCCGUG
This 433-nucleotide ribosomal RNA is filed under the name uncultured bacterium. Its description in RNAcentral is "bacterial SSU rRNA". It matches the Rfam family "Bacterial small subunit ribosomal RNA", at positions 29 to 507 of the family's 1533-position model. The record is from RNAcentral.